This 755-nucleotide long non-coding RNA is filed under the name Monodelphis domestica (gray short-tailed opossum). RNAcentral describes it as "lncRNA (ENSMODG00000031245.2)". Lineage: Eukaryota; Metazoa; Chordata; Mammalia; Didelphimorphia; Didelphidae. The record is from RNAcentral.
ACAAUUUUUAAAAGAACAACUUGAAAUUGUUUUCCAGAAUUAUUGGACCAGUUCACAGCUCCAUCAAUAGUGUAUUAGUGUGCCUUCUUUCCUUCACACCCUCCAACGUUUACUUGAAGUUCUGGGAAAGAACUCACCACUUGGAAGUGGGGGAGGAAUCAUCUUCCAGGACUAGAAGGCAGAAGAGGAUAGAAUGUAUUCCAAGAUGAGAAGACUGCUGGUAUGGAGACAUCUUCAUGGAUGAGCAGGCUGCUAGUAUGGAGGAAUCUUUCAGAGUAAGAAGGCUAUUGGAAUGGAGACAUCUUCCAGCAUGAGAGGGCUGCUAGCAUGGAGUCAUCUUCCAGGGGAUAAUGUAACAAGUUGGGCAGACAGCACCGGGGAGUUUCCGGAAAGAAGACAGACAGUGAGCUCAAGUGAUGGAGAAUGAGGAGUAAAAAAGAAAGAGAGAAAGGACUUGGAUGUAAGUUAAGAUGUUAUAAAAAACUCUUUCAGAUGUAACUUUAGAAGUGUUAAGGCUCUGUGAAUUUACUGAAAAACUGAACUGAAUUGCUGAAGGUAGGAGCAAAAUGAGUAGAAUCGAGAGAACAUUACAUAUAGCUACAGCAUGAAUAUUUGAAGAAUAGCUUGUGAAUGUCCACCUCCAAAGAAAGAACUGACAAAUAGAAAUACAAAAGGCAUUAAAAAUUGCUAAAGACAUAAAUGUUGGCAUUUCUACUGUGAUAUGAAUAUGUGAAGCUAGGAAAGAUAAUCAUGAU